Bos taurus (domestic cattle) is the source of this 72-nucleotide non-coding RNA. The record is from Rfam. Lineage: Eukaryota; Metazoa; Chordata; Mammalia; Artiodactyla; Bovidae.
UCCGUGGUGGCUCAGACGGUAAAGCGUCUGUCUACAAUGCAGGAGUCCCAGGUUCGAUCCCUGGGUCAGGAA